GAGAUCGGAUAACACCUGGAAACAGAUGCUAAUACCGGAUAACAACAGAUGAUGCCUAUCAACUGUUUAAAAGNUGGUUCUGCUAUCACUAUUGGAUGGACCUGCGGUGCAUUAGCUAGUUGGUAGGGUAACGGCCUACCAAGGCGAUGAUGCAUAGCCGAGUUGAGAGACUGAUCGGCCACAUUGGGACUGAGACACGGCCCAAACUCCUACGGGAGGCAGCAGCC
Molecule: ribosomal RNA, 227 nt
Filed under: uncultured Lactobacillus sp.
Lineage: Bacteria; Bacillati; Bacillota; Bacilli; Lactobacillales; Lactobacillaceae
Description: partial 16S ribosomal RNA
Rfam family: Bacterial small subunit ribosomal RNA
Source: RNAcentral